This 485-nucleotide ribosomal RNA is filed under the name uncultured bacterium. RNAcentral describes it as "bacterial SSU rRNA". It matches the Rfam family "Bacterial small subunit ribosomal RNA", at positions 1025 to 1509 of the family's 1533-position model. The record is from RNAcentral.
AACUCUGAGACAGGUGCUGCAUGGCUGUCGUCAGCUCGUGUUGUGAAAUGUUGGGUUAAGUCCCGCAACGAGCGCAACCCUUAUCCUUUGUUGCCAGCACGUAAUGGUGGGAACUCAAAGGAGACUGCCGGUGAUAAACCGGAGGAAGGUGGGGAUGACGUCAAGUCAUCAUGGCCCUUACGAGUAGGGCUACACACGUGCUACAAUGGCGCAUACAAAGAGAAGCGACCUCGCGAGAGCAAGCGGACCUCAUAAAGUGCGUCGUAGUCCGGAUUGGAGUCUGCAACUCGACUCCAUGAAGUCGGAAUCGCUAGUAAUCGUAAAUCAGAAUGUUACGGUGAAUACGUUCCCGGGCCUUGUACACACCGCCCGUCACACCAUGGGAGUGGGUUGCAAAAGAAGUAGAUAGCUUAACCUUCGGGAGGGCGUUUACCACUUUGUGAUUCAUGACUGGGGUGAAGUCGUAACAAGGUAGGCGUAGUGCU